AGGGGCGUCGCCAAGUGGUUAAGGCACCGGGUUUUGAUCCCGGCAUUCGUAGGUNNUCGAAUCCUUCCGCCCCUGCCA
Molecule: transfer RNA, 78 nt
Filed under: Pseudoxanthomonas sp.
Lineage: Bacteria; Pseudomonadati; Pseudomonadota; Gammaproteobacteria; Lysobacterales; Lysobacteraceae
Description: tRNA-Gln
Rfam family: tRNA
About the family: Transfer RNA (tRNA) molecules are approximately 80 nucleotides in length. Their secondary structure includes four short double-helical elements and three loops (D, anti-codon, and T loops).
Source: RNAcentral